AGAUUGGUGGCUAAAUUAAAUGGAGGAAAGCGCGUGUUUUUAAACCGCAAAUACAAGGGUUCGAGUCCCCACCAAUUAG
Molecule: transfer RNA, 79 nt
Filed under: Pityrogramma trifoliata
Lineage: Eukaryota; Viridiplantae; Streptophyta; Polypodiopsida; Polypodiales; Pteridaceae
Description: tRNA-Arg
Source: RNAcentral